RNAcentral lists this ribosomal RNA (241 nucleotides) under uncultured bacterium. RNAcentral describes it as "partial 16S ribosomal RNA". It matches the Rfam family "Bacterial small subunit ribosomal RNA", at positions 536 to 776 of the family's 1533-position model. The record is from RNAcentral.
AAGCGUUGUUCGGAGUUACUGGGCGUUAAGGGCGUGUAGGCGGAUCUUUAAGUUUGGUGUGAAAUCUCCCGGCUCAACCGGGAGGGUGCGCCGAAUACUGAGGGACUAGAGUGUGGGAGAGGAAAGUGGAAUUCCUGGUGUAGCGGUGAAAUGCGUAGAUAUCAGGAGGAACACCGGUGGUGUAGACGGCUUUCUGGACCAUAACUGACGCUGAGACACGAAAGCGUGGGUAGCAAACAGG